GACGAACGCUGGCGGGCGUGCUUAACACAUGCAAGUCGAACGAAAGAGCGAUGGAAGCUUGCUUCUAUCAUCUUAGUGGCGAACGGGUGAGUAACGCGUAAUCAACCUGCCCUUCAGAGGGGGCAACAGUUGGAAACGACUUGCUAAUACCGCAUACGAUCUAAUCUCGGCAUCGAGGAUAGAUGAAAGGUGGCCUCUACAUGUAAGCUAUCACUGAAGGAGGGGAUUGCGUCUGAUUAGCUAGUUGGAGGGGUAACGGCCCACCAAGGCGAUGAUCAGUAGCCGGUCUGAGAGGAUGAACGGCCACAUUGGGACUGAGACACGGCCCAGGCUCCUACGGGAGGCAGCAGUGGGGAAUCUUCCGCAAUGGACGAAAGUCUGACGGAGCAACGCCGCGUGAGUGAUGACGGCCUUCGGGUUGUAAAGCUCUGUUAAUCGGGACGAAAGGCCUUCUUGCGAACAGUUAGAAGGAU
RNAcentral lists this ribosomal RNA (473 nucleotides) under Veillonella parvula. RNAcentral describes it as "bacterial SSU rRNA". It matches the Rfam family "Bacterial small subunit ribosomal RNA", at positions 28 to 477 of the family's 1533-position model. The record is from RNAcentral. Lineage: Bacteria; Bacillati; Bacillota; Negativicutes; Veillonellales; Veillonellaceae.